GAGUUUGAUCAUGGCUCAGAUUGAACGCUGGCGGCAUGCCUUACACAUGCAAGUCGAACGGUAACAGGUCUUCGGAUGCUGACGAGUGGCGAACGGGUGAGUAAUACAUCGGAACGUGCCCAGACGUGGGGGGAUAACGAGGCGAAAGCUUUGCUAAUACCGCAUACGAUCUAAGGAUGAAAGCAGGGGACCGCAAGGCCUUGCGCGUUUGGAGCGGCCGAUGGCAGAUUAGGUAGUUGGGUGGGAUAAAAGCUUACCAAGCCGACGAUCUGUAGCUGGUCUGAGAGGACGACCAGCCACACUGGGACUGAGACACGGCCCAGACUCCUACGGGAGGCAGCAGUGGGAAUUUUGGACAAUGGGCGAAAGCCUGAUCCAGCAAUGCCGCGUGCAGGAUGAAGGCC
This 404-nucleotide ribosomal RNA is filed under the name uncultured microorganism. RNAcentral describes it as "bacterial SSU rRNA". It matches the Rfam family "Bacterial small subunit ribosomal RNA", at positions 9 to 416 of the family's 1533-position model. The record is from RNAcentral.